AAUAUUCUUAAGGAUUUGACGUUUGAGUUUUUCUAGUAGCUUCGAAGCUAUAUUAUAAAUAUAAGCAUAGGAAGGAAAUGGCUAAGAAGGUAGUAAUGUAAAUCAGUUAGAGUGUAUAUUCAUAGUUUGUUUUCAGUCGUGAAGUACAAGAAGUUAGUAUUUCCAUAAUCCAUCUAGUGUACAAGGGCAGUAGUUUUCCAGUACCUGUUUCAACAGUCUUAUUGCACAGAAAUCCAUAGGUGCUGCAUCUGUUGACUUGACUGGUAUGAUUUCAUUUGGAAUAGCAUACAUACCCAUUUCGUUCUCCAGCUGCUUGAGGCAUACAAUGGUUGAAAUGAUAUUUCUUGGAAGCAACUUGUGUACACUUGGCUUCUGGCACUUUGUCAGACAAAGAUACUUGUUUAUUAUGUUGUGUACUGUACAGUCCCUGAGACAUAUGAAUAGCUUUCGCCACUGGCUUUUGAGACGUAUUACCAUUUACAGAAAGAAGUUAAAAUUCACUUACCAAACUGAGGCCUUGAGAUUGAUAGAGAGCUAACUAGUAUUAUACAUAAACAUUUUUAAUACUAUAUUCACAGAACGUGUGUGUGCCACCUAUGCCACUGAUGGUCAAUCCCAUUGAGCUAUAAAGGAGGUCAUAAUCUUGAGAUAUCACCUAAUCUACCAUUGGAAAGCAGUUAACAUCCUUGCACAAUGUGGAGCAUUACAGCCACAAUCUCCAUGGGAAGAAGAAGUGUUAUCUUCAGAGAAUGACAAAAGAAGGAAGACCAUAGAUGAGGUGGCAAGUGAAAUUUUAAAACGGUGCAUCCAUGUUGCCUGGCUACACUUAGAGGAAGUUUAGGUGUUCUCAGUUUCUGACGGUGAAUUUAGAUUUGUUUUCUUGAAUUUUCUAUACAUAAAUAUAUGUCUAAACAAACUAGAACUUAAUUGUUUUUAGUCAGUGGUGUAAUUGUGUUAUAUUGACUUAAUUAUUAUAUUACACUACAAAAAAACUUCAACUGUAGAUAUAUAUAUAUAUUUAUAUACUUGUUAUAAUAGUAAAAAUACCAAAGAAGGGUUGCAAAGUAAAUAAUUCUGAAUUUACUCGGUGUAUUUACAUGGAAUGUGGUAAUCUUUUAGUAAAAUAUACAAGUCUGUUGUACACAGAAAAUACAGAUGUGUUACCAAUGUAUGUGUGAAUUGACGAUAUCAGUCUGACAAUUCGGACUGCAAGACGAUGUUCAUAUGUGAAGAAUAAAAAAAUUGUCUAUC
Molecule: long non-coding RNA, 1251 nt
Organism: Limulus polyphemus (Atlantic horseshoe crab)
Lineage: Eukaryota; Metazoa; Arthropoda; Merostomata; Xiphosura; Limulidae
Exons: 3
Source: RefSeq, a predicted model, not a curated record